ACCGCGAUAACUCAAUUGGUAGAGCAUCUGCCCGGUAUGCGGAGGGACGCCGGUUCGACUCCGGCUUGCGGCG
RNAcentral lists this transfer RNA (73 nucleotides) under Fasciola hepatica (liver fluke). It matches the Rfam family "tRNA". Rfam says of the family: Transfer RNA (tRNA) molecules are approximately 80 nucleotides in length. Their secondary structure includes four short double-helical elements and three loops (D, anti-codon, and T loops). The record is from Rfam by way of RNAcentral. Lineage: Eukaryota; Metazoa; Platyhelminthes; Trematoda; Plagiorchiida; Fasciolidae.